Molecule: non-coding RNA, 30 nt
Filed under: Rattus norvegicus (Norway rat)
Lineage: Eukaryota; Metazoa; Chordata; Mammalia; Rodentia; Muridae
Source: RNAcentral
UGUUAGUUUCAGUUAGUCUACAGCAUUGUG